CAGCAGCCGCGGUAAUACGAAGGGUGCAAGCGUUACUCGGAAUUACUGGGCGUAAAGCGUGCGUAGGUGGUUGUUUAAGUCUGCUGUGAAAGCCCUGGGCUCAACCUGGGAAUUGCAGUGGAUACUGGGCAACUAGAGUAAGGUAGAGGAUAGUGGAAUUUCCGGUGUAGCAGUGAAAUGCGUAGAGAUCGGAAGGAACAUCUGUGGCGAAGGCGACUAUCUGGGCCAUUACUGACACUGAGGCACGAAAGCUAGGGGAGCAAACAGGAUUAGAUACCCCUGUAGUCCCUGUCUCUUAUAC
Molecule: ribosomal RNA, 301 nt
Filed under: uncultured bacterium
Lineage: Bacteria
Description: partial 16S ribosomal RNA
Rfam family: Bacterial small subunit ribosomal RNA
Source: RNAcentral